RNAcentral lists this ribosomal RNA (509 nucleotides) under uncultured bacterium. Its description in RNAcentral is "partial 16S ribosomal RNA". It matches the Rfam family "Bacterial small subunit ribosomal RNA", at positions 28 to 523 of the family's 1533-position model. The record is from RNAcentral.
GAUGAACGCUGGCGGCAUGCCUAAUACAUGCAAGUCGAGCGAACAGAUGAAGUGCUUGCGCUUCUGACGUUAGCGGCGAACGGGUGAGUAACACGUAAGGAAUCUACCUAUAAGCGGGGGAUAACAUUCGGAAACGGGUGCUAAUACCGCAUAAUAUCUUCUUCCGCAUGGAAGAAGAUUGAAAGACGGCUCUGCUGUCACUUAUAGAUGACCUUGCGGUGCAUUAGUUGGUGGGGUAAUGGCCUACCAAGACGAUGAUGCAUAGCCGACCUGAGAGGGUGAUCGGCCACAUUGGGACUGAGACACGGCCCAAACUCCUACGGGAGGCAGCAGUAGGGAAUCUUCCGCAAUGGGCGAAAGCCUGACGGAGCAAUGCCGCGUGAGUGAAGAAGGCCUUCGGGUCGUAAAACUCUGUUAUAAGAGAAGAACAAAUUGUAGAGUAACUGCUACAGUCUUGACGGUAUCUUAUCAGAAAGCCACGGCUAACUACGUGCCAGCAGCCGCAGUAA